UAUUCCUAUCGUUAGAAGAUGAGAUUCUGCUUUUAAAACCAUUUAUUUAAUUCAAAAUAUUUAGUACAUACAGUUUAUAACCGUUCAUAAUUAAGGUCUUUUACGAUGCCUUUCUUACAGAUCCAGAGGUCUGGUUAGCCCUGACCAUUAUCCGAUCGCUAAGACGCUUGCACACUCCCUCAAAGCUCCGGACAGACUGCGCUAAGAGUGAACAAACUAACGAGUUCAUGACAUGAUCCAGGGAUCUGAUGCAACCACCCCCCAUUGUCAGUGUCCAGUUGGCCCUCAAAAUGCCGGGAUCUCUUGCAAGGUUCAUCAACACUUGGUAAGUUUUCACUCCAGGGGUAGAUCCUACGUCGGGCCUUUUGGUCCUGGCUAUGUCUCAAGGACAGCUGAGGCCAGCUCCUUAACUGUUCGCGAUUUUUGAAGAGAAUGUCCAGCUUAUUCAUAAGUGUUAUGAAAAUUGGAUAAUCCACCCAUUUAAAACUAAACACAGGAAUAAAAAAGUUUACAUCUUUGCAUGCUCUGGAAGCUACUGGAGAAUUGACAGACUUUGUAGCAUUACCCGCAUCAUAAACUUCACAGGCUAAAAUUGUCACUUUGUUGUCAGGGCUAUAGUCCAUUGAAGCAAUUCUUAGAGCCUUGAGAUCCCUGCCCCCGAAGACCUGUUCUU
Long non-coding RNA from Salvelinus fontinalis (brook trout), 673 nucleotides. RefSeq lists it as uncharacterized. The transcript is spliced from 3 exons. The record is from RefSeq and is a predicted model, not a curated record. NCBI's taxonomy places the organism in Eukaryota, Metazoa, Chordata, Actinopteri, Salmoniformes, Salmonidae.